GACGAACGCUGGCGGCGUGCUUAACACAUGCAAGUCGAACGGAAAGGCCCUGCUUUUGUGGGGUGCUCGAGUGGCGAACGGGUGAGUAACACGUGAGUAACCUGCCCUUGACUUUGGGAUAACUUCAGGAAACUGGGGCUAAUACCGGAUAGGAGCUCCUGCUGCAUGGUGGGGGUUGGAAAGUUUCGGCGGUUGGGGAUGGACUCGCGGCUUAUCAGCUUGUUGGUGGGGUAGUGGCUUACCAAGGCUUUGACGGGUAGCCGGCCUGAGAGGGUGACCGGCCACAUUGGGACUGAGAUACGGCCCAGAGUCCUACGGGAGGCAGCAGUGGGGAAUAUUGCACAGUGGGCGGAAGCCUGAUGCAGCAACGCCGCGUGCGGGAUGACGGCCUUCGGGUUGUAAACCGCUUUAGCCUGUGACGAAGCGUGAGUGACGGUAAUGGGUAAAGAAGCACCGGCUAACUACGUG
Molecule: ribosomal RNA, 468 nt
Filed under: uncultured bacterium
Lineage: Bacteria
Description: partial 16S ribosomal RNA
Rfam family: Bacterial small subunit ribosomal RNA
Source: RNAcentral